RNAcentral lists this ribosomal RNA (2674 nucleotides) under Saccharomyces cerevisiae (brewer's yeast). RNAcentral describes it as "bacterial LSU rRNA". The stretch from base 120 to 1838 matches the Rfam family "Bacterial large subunit ribosomal RNA", at positions 15 to 2044 of the family's 2925-position model. Lineage: Eukaryota; Fungi; Ascomycota; Saccharomycetes; Saccharomycetales; Saccharomycetaceae. The record is from RNAcentral.
AUAAAUUUAAUAUAACUAUUAAUAGAAUUAGGUUACUAAUAAAUUAAUAACAAUUAAUUUUAAAACCUAAAGGUAAACCUUUAUAUUAAUAAUGUUAUUUUUUAUUAUUUUUAUAAUAAGAAUAAUUAUUAAUAAUAAUAAACUAAGUGAACUGAAACAUCUAAGUAACUUAAGGAUAAGAAAUCAACAGAGAUAUUAUGAGUAUUGGUGAGAGAAAAUAAUAAAGGUCUAAUAAGUAUUAUGUGAAAAAAAUGUAAGAAAAUAGGAUAACAAAUUCUAAGACUAAAUACUAUUAAUAAGUAUAGUAAGUACCGUAAGGGAAAGUAUGAAAAUGAUUAUUUUAUAAGCAAUCAUGAAUAUAUUAUAUUAUAUUAAUGAUGUACCUUUUGUAUAAUGGGUCAGCAAGUAAUUAAUAUUAGUAAAACAAUAAGUUAUAAAUAAAUAGAAUAAUAUAUAUAUAUAAAAAAAUAUAUUAAAAUAUUUAAUUAAUAUUAAUUGACCCGAAAGCAAACGAUCUAACUAUGAUAAGAUGGAUAAACGAUCGAACAGGUUGAUGUUGCAAUAUCAUCUGAUUAAUUGUGGUUAGUAGUGAAAGACAAAUCUGGUUUGCAGAUAGCUGGUUUUCUAUGAAAUAUAUGUAAGUAUAGCCUUUAUAAAUAAUAAUUAUUAUAUAAUAUUAUAUUAAUAUUAUAUAAAGAAUGGUACAGCAAUUAAUAUAUAUUAGGGAACUAUUAAAGUUUUAUUAAUAAUAUUAAAUCUCGAAAUAUUUAAUUAUAUAUAAUAAAGAGUCAGAUUAUGUGCGAUAAGGUAAAUAAUCUAAAGGGAAACAGCCCAGAUUAAGAUAUAAAGUUCCUAAUAAAUAAUAAGUGAAAUAAAUAUUAAAAUAUUAUAAUAUAAUCAGUUAAUGGGUUUGACAAUAACCAUUUUUUAAUGAACAUGUAACAAUGCACUGAUUUAUAAUAAAUAAAAAAAAAUAAUAUUUAAAAUCAAAUAUAUAUAUAUUUGUUAAUAGAUAAUAUACGGAUCUUAAUAAUAAGAAUUAUUUAAUUCCUAAUAUGGAAUAUUAUAUUUUUAUAAUAAAAAUAUAAAUACUGAAUAUCUAAAUAUUAUUAUUACUUUUUUUUUAAUAAUAAUAAUAUGGUAAUAGAACAUUUAAUGAUAAUAUAUAUUAGUUAUUAAUUAAUAUAUGUAUUAAUUAAAUAGAGAAUGCUGACAUGAGUAACGAAAAAAAGGUAUAAACCUUUUCACCUAAAACAUAAGGUUUAACUAUAAAAGUACGGCCCCUAAUUAAAUUAAUAAGAAUAUAAAUAUAUUUAAGAUGGGAUAAUCUAUAUUAAUAAAAAUUUAUCUUAAAAUAUAUAUAUUAUUAAUAAUUAUAUUAAUUAAUUAAUAAUAUAUAUAAUUAUAUUAUAUAUUAUAUAUUUUUUAUAUAAUAUAAACUAAUAAAGAUCAGGAAAUAAUUAAUGUAUACCGUAAUGUAGACCGACUCAGGUAUGUAAGUAGAGAAUAUGAAGGUGAAUUAGAUAAUUAAAGGGAAGGAACUCGGCAAAGAUAGCUCAUAAGUUAGUCAAUAAAGAGUAAUAAGAACAAAGUUGUACAACUGUUUACUAAAAACACCGCACUUUGCAGAAACGAUAAGUUUAAGUAUAAGGUGUGAACUCUGCUCCAUGCUUAAUAUAUAAAUAAAAUUAUUUAACGAUAAUUUAAUUAAAUUUAGGUAAAUAGCAGCCUUAUUAUGAGGGUUAUAAUGUAGCGAAAUUCCUUGGCCUAUAAUUGAGGUCCCGCAUGAAUGACGUAAUGAUACAACAACUGUCUCCCCUUUAAGCUAAGUGAAAUUGAAAUCGUAGUGAAGAUGCUAUGUACCUUCAGCAAGACGGAAAGACCCUAUGCAGCUUUACUGUAAUUAGAUAGAUCGAAUUAUUGUUUAUUAUAUUCAGCAUAUUAAGUAAUCCUAUUAUUAGGUAAUCGUUUAGAUAUUAAUGAGAUACUUAUUAUAAUAUAAUGAUAAUUCUAAUCUUAUAAAUAAUUAUUAUUAUUAUUAUUAAUAAUAAUAAUAUGCUUUCAAGCAUAGUGAUAAAACAUAUUUAUAUGAUAAUCACUUUACUUAAUAGAUAUAAUUCUUAAGUAAUAUAUAAUAUAUAUUUUAUAUAUAUUAUAUAUAAUAUAAGAGACAAUCUCUAAUUGGUAGUUUUGAUGGGGCGUCAUUAUCAGCAAAAGUAUCUGAAUAAGUCCAUAAAUAAAUAUAUAAAAUUAUUGAAUAAAAAAAAAAUAAUAUAUAUUAUAUAUAUUAAUUAUAAAUUGAAAUAUGUUUAUAUAAAUUUAUAUUUAUUGAAUAUAUUUUAGUAAUAGAUAAAAAUAUGUACAGUAAAAUUGUAAGGAAAACAAUAAUAACUUUCUCCUCUCUCGGUGGGGGUUCACACCUAUUUUUAAUAGGUGUGAACCCCUCUUCGGGGUUCCGGUUCCCUUUCGGGUCCCGGAACUUAAAUAAAAAUGGAAAGAAUUAAAUUAAUAUAAUGGUAUAACUGUGCGAUAAUUGUAACACAAACGAGUGAAACAAGUACGUAAGUAUGGCAUAAUGAACAAAUAACACUGAUUGUAAAGGUUAUUGAUAACGAAUAAAAGUUACGCUAGGGAUAAUUUACCCCCUUGUCCCAUUAUAUUGAAAAAUAUAAUU